Sycon ciliatum is the source of this 847-nucleotide long non-coding RNA. RefSeq lists it as uncharacterized. The transcript is spliced from 2 exons. The record is from RefSeq and is a predicted model, not a curated record. NCBI's taxonomy places the organism in Eukaryota, Metazoa, Porifera, Calcarea, Leucosolenida, Sycettidae.
GUCGUUUCUCUUCGCCAGUCUACAAGCACUAAUUUUAGUUGGUAUUUCAAGGGAAGAUGGGCGAUUCCGAACAAUCCUCUGUCCCCAGCAAUGAAGGCAGCGAUGCUGAGGCCAGUGAGGACGACCAACAGCCCACCGCCGCGUAUGGUUGGGGCAGGGAGCCCAGAUACUCUGCUGAGGAGCUGCCAUCGCGUGUAACAAAUGUGGAGGAAGAAGAUGCGUCAGCAGCUGCGUCUGACAGAAGACGAGUAGCUUGGCCACCAGAAUCUCGAUUCGUUUGGGACUCCGACUGGUGCGAGCGUGGACAAAAGUGUAUAGCCAUGCCCAGCCCGCGGGAAUGAUUUUGCUGGUAGGAUGCUGCCGUCGCUGUCGACAAGACGGCCCAAGGUUUCUUGCGUAGCGGACCUCGCAGAUUACGAGAUCGUAUCCUUGCAUUAGGCUGUGCUCAUCACUGCUCUUCGAGGUUAUCUCGACAUGCAGAAGCCGCCAAUGCCAGUGACAGAAGAGUCUGACAUUAGAUCUCUACGCUAUGCGGCACACAGGCAGUACACACUAUGUACACGGCAAAUUGGGCAAGCACGUUCGUUGUCGUCUUCCAGCCUGCGUUGUGAAUACCAUCAGGCAAAGAUAUCCAAAUCCUGCACCACCUCAGCCUUCUCAGGAGGCUUCCACCUGGAAUUUGGCAGGGAAACACGCUUCUCCAAGGCAGGAACAUGGAGGUUGCCAUUUGCAACCGCUACCACCUCACACAUGAGCUUGUCAACAUACUCAUAGCUCUUUCUGUCGUAUAAUUUUCUAUUUGGCCACAGUCUUCUUUAUGCUUUGAGAACUGGACUUUAUACCUUCC